RNAcentral lists this small RNA (81 nucleotides) under Marmota monax (woodchuck). Lineage: Eukaryota; Metazoa; Chordata; Mammalia; Rodentia; Sciuridae. The record is from RNAcentral.
GCCGGGCGUGGUGGCACAGGCCUGUAAUCCCAACGGCUUGGGAGGCUGAGGCAGGAGGAUUGCAGCGAGACCCUGUUUCAA